AGUUCUGUGCCCAAGGAAUAUCUGUGGGAUGAGUACAUGGAAUUUAUGCAAAUUGCUUCACAAGCCACCAAGAUUUUGGGUUAAUCUUUCCCUUCACUGUUCUUCUGAUCAAGCUCUACGUCUCUGGGACUAAAGUCAAACUAGGUAUUUCACAGCCACAGCUCCAGGCAGGUGCCAUUAAGAACCUCAGAGGAGGUGGCCAGGGUGGAUGGAUGAGGGAAAAAAUAACCUCAUCCAAAAUAUAUGAUUCAAACUUAAAGGAGCAAAGCAAAAUCUCAGUAGGUGGACUUUUUAUUUAUUUCAUUUUCGUUUGUCAGUGAAACAAGAUAAGAACAUCUGUCUCCUGUUAAAUAGGAGCCACAUUCUUUCAGAAAGAUUCCAGAAAGAUAACCUGGGAAGCUUAUGUGAUGCAGAACUGAGCUCCUGCGGUUAGUUAUAUGUGAUAUCAGAGACAGAAUUCAUGUGCCUCUACCAACACUAUUUUUUGAGGGAUUUGGGUGCCGGACUUACCAAUAUCAGAUCUGCAUAACAUUCCUU
Long non-coding RNA from Hipposideros armiger (great roundleaf bat), 537 nucleotides. RefSeq lists it as uncharacterized. The transcript is spliced from 3 exons. Lineage: Eukaryota; Metazoa; Chordata; Mammalia; Chiroptera; Hipposideridae. The record is from RefSeq and is a predicted model, not a curated record.